GCUGAAUCAGAAGUCACCUGUAUGAGAGAGACGUUCCUCAUCUUUGCAGUUUUCAAAGGUGCCCAGUUGCCUUGUGCAGCCACCAAUGCCAAACCAUCAAGGACCUUUUGGGUCAUCAGAAAAAGCACCUGGAGGAAGGACACCAAGUAUGCUGUCCGAAAUGGACGAUCGAGACGACAUCAGAAGUUCAAUUUCAAGUGUUCUACCGGACCUCCCUGGAUCCAUCCUGAAUAUUGUGGAGGAGACACUGCAGUCUCUGGGAGUGGGGACCAUUGAUGAUUUCCAGUUUGUCCAAGAGGCUGAUCUCCUGUCUGUUUUACGACCAAUACAAGCCAGAAAACUUGUAGCUUCUUGGAAGCAAACAUGUAAGUACAACUCAAUUGAAAUCCCUUUACAUAACCAAAGAUGUCAGCUUGGUUGUUUGAUCAGUUUAAUCUCAUGUGACCUGACUGCAGCUGUUGCUGGGAUACAGCACUGUGGCAUGUAGUUUGUUUGUAGUGCAUAGUUGAAAG
Gadus chalcogrammus (walleye pollock) is the source of this 512-nucleotide long non-coding RNA. RefSeq lists it as uncharacterized. The transcript has 3 exons. Lineage: Eukaryota; Metazoa; Chordata; Actinopteri; Gadiformes; Gadidae. The record is from RefSeq and is a predicted model, not a curated record.